UUUUCAACUUUAACAUUUUUAAUAACAUAGAUAACCUUAAAAAUCAUGUAAAUUCAACUCUUCUAAAAUCAAUUCACUUUAUCAUAUUAAAUAUUUUCUUUUCAACAAAUUUUAGGUCAUUUUCAUUAUUGUAUCUUUAUUUAAAAUAGUCCGGAGAUCAUAACCUACCUGGUAAGAUAAUGUGCACACUAUCCUAAGGUUAUUACCUCAUCUCUUUAAUAGUAUUUAUUUCAUUCGUAAGUAUUGUCCGGUUCGUCAUUCUGAUCAGAUACGAAAUUGUCAACCAAUGUUGUAAUACUCUUUAAUAAUAAUUUUUGUACAUGCAUAUUCAAAUCAACUAAUUGUCUUGGUAUAAUAAAUUCAAUCCAUUUUUAUACUGUAAUAUAUAGGUUAUAGACAGGAGCGUACUAGCCUAGUACGUCAGGUGUUAGCUAGUUUGUAUAAAUUGUAUAUAGGGGUUAUAGGUAAUUUUUUUCCAUUAAACUGGUUGGUUGUACAUA
Diabrotica virgifera virgifera (western corn rootworm) is the source of this 500-nucleotide long non-coding RNA. RefSeq lists it as uncharacterized. The transcript has 2 exons. Lineage: Eukaryota; Metazoa; Arthropoda; Insecta; Coleoptera; Chrysomelidae. The record is from RefSeq and is a predicted model, not a curated record.